CGGACGGGUGAGUAACGCGUGAGAAUCUGCCUUCAGGAUGGGGACAACAAUUGGAAACGAUUGCUAAUACCCGAUAUGACGAAAGUUGAAAGAUUUAUCGCCUGGAGAUGAGCUCGCGUCAGAUUAGCUAGAUGGUGUGGUAAAGGCGCACCAUGGCGACGAUCUGUAGCUGGUCUGAGAGGAUGAGCAGCCACACUGGGACUGAGACACGGCCCAGACUCCUACGGGAGGCAGCAGUGGGGAAUUCUCCGCAAUGGGCGCAAGCCUGACGGAGCAAUACCGCGUGAGGGAGGAAGGCUCUUGGGUCGUAAACCUCUUUUCUCAGGGAAGAACACAAUGACGGUACCUGAGGAAUCAGCAUCGGCUAACUCCGUGCCAGCAGCCGCGGUAAUACGGAGGAUGCAAGCGUUAUCCGGAAUGAUUGGGCGUAAAGCGUCCGUAGGUGGUUUUGUAAGUCUGUGGUUAAAGCGUGUAGCUCAACUACAUAACGGCCAUGGAAACUACAAGGCUUGAGUGAAGUAGGGGUAGAGGGAAUUCCCAGUGUAGCGGUGAAAUGCGUAGAGAUUGGGAAGAACACCGGUGGCGAAAGCGCUCUACUGGACUUAUACUGACACUGAGGGACGAAAGCUAGGGGAGCGAAAGGGAUUAGAUACCCCUGUAGUC
This 663-nucleotide ribosomal RNA is filed under the name Synechocystis pevalekii SAG 91.79. RNAcentral describes it as "bacterial SSU rRNA". It matches the Rfam family "Bacterial small subunit ribosomal RNA", at positions 99 to 795 of the family's 1533-position model. The record is from RNAcentral. Lineage: Bacteria; Bacillati; Cyanobacteriota; Cyanophyceae; Synechococcales; Merismopediaceae.